UACGUAGGGCGCAAGCGUUAUCUGGAAUUAUUGGGUGUAAAGAGCUCGUAGGCGGUUUGUCGCGUCUGCCGUGAAAGUCCGGGGCUCAACUCCGGAUCUGCGGUGGGUACGGGCAGACUAGAGUGAUGUAGGGGAGACUGGAAUUCCUGGUGUAGCGGUGAAAUGCGCAGAUAUCAGGAGGAACACCGAUGGCGAAGGCAGGUCUCUGGGCAUUAACUGACGCUGAGGAGCGAAAGCAUGGGGAGCGAACAGG
RNAcentral lists this ribosomal RNA (253 nucleotides) under uncultured bacterium. RNAcentral's name for it is "partial 16S ribosomal RNA". It matches the Rfam family "Bacterial small subunit ribosomal RNA", at positions 524 to 776 of the family's 1533-position model. The record is from RNAcentral.